RNAcentral lists this ribosomal RNA (745 nucleotides) under uncultured bacterium. Its description in RNAcentral is "bacterial SSU rRNA". It matches the Rfam family "Bacterial small subunit ribosomal RNA", at positions 1 to 745 of the family's 1533-position model. The record is from RNAcentral.
CGAUUAGGGUUCGAUUCUGGCUCAGGAUGAACGCUGGCGGCGUGCUUAACACAUGCAAGUCGAACGGGGGUUACUUCGUGGCGAUCUUCGGAUCAAAGCGAUAUAACUCGAGUGGCGGACGGGUGAGUAACACGUGAGUAACCUGCCUUUUGCUGGGGAAUAACUGUGGGAAACCAUGGCUAAUACCGCAUGUUGUGCAUGACAGGCAUCUGUUGUGUAUGAAAGGAGAGAUCCGGCAGAAGAUGGGCUCGCGUCCGAUUAGGUAGUUGGUGGGGUAACGGCCUACCAAGCCCGCGAUCGGUAGCCGGACUGAGAGGUCGAACGGCCACAUUGGGACUGAGACACGGCCCAGACUCCUACGGGAGGCAGCAGUGGGGAAUAUUGGGCAAUGGGCGAAAGCCUGACCCAGCGACGCCGCGUGAAGGACGAAGGCCUUCGGGUUGUAAACUUCUUUGGGGAGGGACGAAAAUGACGGUACCUCCAGAACAAGCCACGGCUAACUACGUGCCAGCAGCCGCGGUAAUACGUAGGUGGCAAGCGUUAUCCGGAUUUACUGGGUGUAAAGGGCGCGCAGGCGGCCCCAAAAGUCAGAUGUGAAAGAUCAAGGCUUAACUUUGACAUGUCAUCUGAAACUUUGGGACUUGAGUAUCAGAGGGGAAAGCGGAAUUCCUGGUGGAGCGGUAAAAUGCGCAGAGAUCAGGAGGAACACCGGUGGCGAAGGCGGCUUUCUGGCUGACAACUGACG